AAUCUCAUUUUAAUCGCGCAUUCAAAAAAGUUUUCUUUUUUGCAAAGCGCUCGUGCGGCUGGACGAGAACAUUCCAUAGAGAACGUUAAUGCUGAGGUGAUUUAGUUUGUUUAGCGCACGCGCCAUGGCUCAUAAACAAAUCUACUACUCAGAUAAAUACACCGACGACCUCUACGAGUACAGGCAUGUCGUUUUGCCACGCGAGUUGGCCAAGCAAGUGCCCAAGUCCCACCUGAUGUCUGAAGACGAAUGGAGGAGGCUUGGUGUUCAGCAAUCCCUCGGAUGGGUGCAUUACAUGAUUCACGAUCCUGAACCGCACAUCCUGUUAUUUAGAAGGCCUCUUCCGAAGCAGCAGUGACACUGAGACCCACUGAUUCUCUGGAGCCUUCCUGCGGAUUAUUCUGCAGAAGAUGGUGCUGUGAUGCCACUGAUAAUAUUUACAGUGUCUCUCAGAAGUCUCUAGUUUCUUCCAGUUAUUAAAAUGUCUCUCAUGCUCGGUGAGGGCGGCUCUCCACUGGUUCAGCUCUUCUGACACGGUGUCGGCUUCAUCUGUGAAAACACACACAACAGAUUCUACCUGGAGAGCAACUGUGUACGGUGGUCUGAGAAAACCCACUUGGUCAAAAUGAUUUUUUUUCUACUUAUAAAAUACCGUUUAUGUCGAUAUGAAGACACCAUAAAUACAUAUUAAAGGGUCUUAUUGCUUUAUUUCUUUUACAGCAUCAGUGUGUUAGAGGAACCCAAGGAACCAAGGGCCCACAGGAAGAUUAAAUGACAGACACAUCUGAUGGCCUCCAGACUCGAGCGUAACAGAAUUUCAUCCCCGACUGAACUGUUCAUCUCUUCUAAUAGGACCCAUUACCUCUGCUGCUGAGUCGCAGAUCGAUUUUUGACGUGUCAUUUCCUGCCCCUGACACGGCGCUGCACUGGUAUUGUGUGUCUUUACUCAGAGGCUCCUCCCUCACCCAGCUGCUCACCAGCACAUCACCAGCACAGAGGGCGUGUCUGUACUCCGUGACCGGCGUCUCCAGUCUCCGCCCGUUCGAGUGCCACUGAAGGCUAACGUCACCAGGACCUGAGGAACAAACGGCACUUACACACGAACAAAACACACUCGGCACUCGCAAAGCUUCAGCUCUUACCACAUGCUUCAUUCUCAGCUUCAACAGCUACGUGCUUUAGGUGAAACCAAGCGAGGAAGCAAUCGGGUUAAAAAAAAUAAACACACACAUGCGUAAAUACGGUACAUCAGUAGGUGAUCCACAAUAUUAAAUGUAACUGUAAAGGGAUAAAAAUGUACCUUUAUUCUUUAACAAAUGCAAAUUGUUGACAGAUCGCUGUUGUAUAAGUGGAAUAAAACAUGUCAGAAAAUAAUCAACUCGUUCUGUAGGGCUCGUUUAAGAAGUAGUUUAAACCAACCGGCGUGAAGUUUUCCGUCGAAACCCGAUUUGCAGGAACAUUAUGGGAUGUAACUGAAAAUUUCCUGUACUGCAGCUUCAUGAUGACUUCAGAGCGAACGUGUUAAUCGUGACACGUCCCGCUUCCGACGUCCGAGAAGACGUUUGUUUACGAUUUACAAUCUCCGAUACGAGCGAAAGGAAGCAAACAGGAUCUUUAACGUCGAUUAAUUCAUUUAUUAAGGUGGCUAAAAUUGAGAGAAAACAAUAUGUACAGUCAGAAUAUACAUCUGGACUUAUAUUUACACUGUACAAGCAAAAUAAAAACAACAAGAUCAUCAUACAGAAACAGGUCAAAUGUCCAAUGUGCUCAAAGUUCAUUUUGAUGUUACUUUCUUUCUUACUUUUUUUUUAUUUUUUUUUUAAUAAUAUUUAAACAAAGGCAACUCGAACAGCAAACAUCGGAGGAAAGAAAUCUGAUUUUCCAACUGGGAAAAAAAAAAAAGAA
Tachysurus vachellii is the source of this 1905-nucleotide RNA transcript. It is a transcript of the gene named Cyclin-dependent kinases regulatory subunit 2-like, with no coding region annotated. The transcript has 6 exons. The record is from RefSeq and is a predicted model, not a curated record. Lineage: Eukaryota; Metazoa; Chordata; Actinopteri; Siluriformes; Bagridae.